CACUCCUGCGGGAGGCAGCAGUGGGGAAUAUUGGACAAUGGGCGCAAGCCUGAUCCAGCCAUGCCGCGUGAGUGAUGAAGGCCCUAGGGUUGUAAAGCUCUUUUGUGCGGGAAGAUAAUGACGGUACCGCAAGAAUAAGCCCCGGCUAACUUCGUGCCAGCAGCCGCGGUAAUACGAAGGGGGCUAGCGUUGCUCGGAAUCACUGGGCGUAAAGGGUGCGUAGGCGGGUCUUUAAGUCAGGGGUGAAAUCCUGGAGCUCAACUCCAGAACUGCCUUUGAUACUGAAGAUCUUGAGUUCGGGAGAGGUGAGUGGAACUGCGAGUGUAGAGGUGAAAUUCGUAGAUAUUCGCAAGAACACCAGUGGCGAAGGCGGCUCACUGGCCCGAUACUGACGCUGAGGCACGAAAGCGUGGGGAGCAAACAGGAUUAGAAACCCCGGUAGUCCCAUGA
RNAcentral lists this ribosomal RNA (450 nucleotides) under uncultured organism. RNAcentral's name for it is "partial 16S ribosomal RNA". It matches the Rfam family "Bacterial small subunit ribosomal RNA", at positions 334 to 800 of the family's 1533-position model. The record is from RNAcentral.